Molecule: ribosomal RNA, 1269 nt
Filed under: Triticum aestivum (bread wheat)
Lineage: Eukaryota; Viridiplantae; Streptophyta; Magnoliopsida; Poales; Poaceae
Description: partial small subunit ribosomal RNA
Source: RNAcentral
AUGACAUGCCUGCUCGUGCCGGCUGUCGCAUGCGCUGCCCGCGCCCCCGCCGGACAUAAAACCACCGGCCACGGUCACCAGCAGCCCAAGAUAGGAGUCACGCGUGGCGUGAGAAGCAAGGUGUCUGCCGCCAGGGCCGGAAUGGACGGCGGCGCUCCCCCGGCCAUCGCACCGGACGCCGUCAUCAACCUCGAGCUCGGCGACCCGACCAUGUACGAGGCGUUCUGGAGGGAGGUCGGGGAGCGGGCGGCGGUGGCGAUCCCGGGGUGGUCCGGGAUGAGCUACUUCUCCAAUGCCCAGAGCCUCUGCUGGUUCCUCGACCCGGAGUUCGAGCGCGAGGUCCGCCGCGUCCACCGCCUCGUCGGCAACGCCGCGGUUGACGACGGCUACCACCUCGUGGUCGGCACCGGCGCCACCCAGCUCUUCCAGGCGGCCAUGUACGCCCUGUCUCCCGCCGGCGCCCAACGGCCCGUCGGCGUCGUCUCGCCGGCGCCCUACUAUUCGUCGUACCCGCCGCAGACGGACCUCCUGCUCUCGGGGUUCUACCGGUGGGCCGGCGACGCCAACGCCUUCGACGGCGAUGCCCACAUCGAGCUGGUCUGCUCGCCCAACAACCCCGACGGCGCCAUCCGCGAGGCCGUCCUGAGCUCCGAGUCCAGCAAGGCGAUCCACGACCUGGUGUACUACUGGCCCCAGUACACGCCCAUCACCGGCGCCGCCGCCCACGACAUCAUGCUCUUCACCAUGUCCAAGGUCACCGGCCACGCCGGCGCCAGGCUCGGGUGGGCGCUCGUCAAGGACCGCGACGUGGCCAAGAAGAUGGUCUACUUCGUGGACCGGAGCACCAUCGGCGUGUCCAAGGACUCGCAGGUCCGCGCCGCCAAGAUCCUCGCGGUGGUCUCCGACGCCUACGGCCCCGGCGAGGACGACACGCGGCUCCGCCUCUUCGACUUCGCGCGGCGGCGCAUGGGGGAGCGCUGGCGGGUCCUGCGCGCCUCCGUGGCGGCCACCGGCGCCUUCAGCCUCCCGGAGGAGACCGCCGGCUACUGCAACUUCACCAAGCAAACCGUGGCAGCUUACCCCGCGUUCGCGUGGCUGCGCUGCGAGAAGGCUGGCGUGGAGGAAUGCGCCGAGUUCCUGCGCGGCCACAGCAUCGUGGCGCGGGGCGGGGAGCAGUUCGGGGGAGACGCCAGGUGCGUCAGGGUCAACAUGCUGGACAGGGACAGUGUGUUCGACGUGCUCAUACAGCGCCUCUCCUCCAUAACAUGA